Hemicordylus capensis (graceful crag lizard) is the source of this 2757-nucleotide long non-coding RNA. RefSeq lists it as uncharacterized. Lineage: Eukaryota; Metazoa; Chordata; Lepidosauria; Squamata; Cordylidae. The transcript has 4 exons. The record is from RefSeq and is a predicted model, not a curated record.
AGCCAGCCAGGAAGGAGGAGGCAGCCAGAGAGGCCUCCACUGUUCUCUGCAGCAGAAGACCCCCUGCUGCCAGUUGUCAAGUCCAUCAACUCGCUGGGCACUUCUAGAUAAGCAACUAAGGUUAUCUGAAGGGAUCCAAUCAGCAUCUGACCCUGCAACCACCAUGCCUUGGAAGAACAGUGACAAUACAGCUUGUCUAAAGCGUGGUUGCUACAGAGACUACUGCUUGAUGCACCCUUUAAAAGAACAUAGACAGUUCCUGGUGGCCAAAUCCCGGUGCACAAACUUGCGUUCUGAGAGGUAGGCCAUGCCGGCGGCCACUUGUUUGGCAAUACAGAGCUGGUCGGUGCAAGAGAGAGCAAGCAAGUUAGGACUGGAGGGCCUGAUCCUUAUGUCAAGUACCAAUGAAGUGAACCAUGGCUGUGUUACACAAUUUGAUGGGGAAGCAUGGAAUAUGUGAAGUAAUCAUAAAAAUUAGGGGGUCUCUGAGCAUGAGCAGAAAGACCCUCGUCUUAGAGUAAUCACUCAGUUAACUCAUAUCUGGGAGUAAGGGGUGAACAUAGUUUUGAAGAACCAUGGCUGGUUUUGAAAACCAUGGGAAUAAGCUAAAAUGAUUACAUAAUGCAAUUGUGCAUUGCUCUGUAUGUAUUACUGAAGUAAGCAGCCUUAUGAAACCAAACCUUAAACCUGGGAAAAAGAAGUGUGAAACUGAGUAAGCAAUUUUAAUACAUUUACACUUUUGGUAUUCUAAUGGACAUUUCCAUCACAUCUGGUAUCUUUGCAUAGUGUAAGAGACUGAAUUUUGCUAGUGGCCUCACUCUUGCCCUUUUGGAGAAAAAGCAGACAACAUUUCACAUUGCAAAAACAUCUGGAUCUGGCUAAAAGAAGAGUGUGCACGUAAAAGGUUCUUAGGUCAAGUGAUGCUCAACAGUCCCACACCCCCACAACACAAAACUGAUGGAUUCUUUUGGCCUUUCCUAAUUUAUCCAACAUGGUGAUGAUAAACAAAGAGAUUGCUCCAACUGAUUGUCCACUUCCUGUUUCCUUUUUCUACUGCUGAAAUAUUGAGUCAAUUCAGUCUAACUAUAAACUCCAGAGUACCUAAAAAUGCUUUGGAUUCUGCAAAUGCACUUGAUAAUACUUCCUCAGAAAUAAACUUUGAUUUAAUUGAAUACAAGCUCCAAUCAUAUUUAGAUCGGAAGGUUCGGAACUACAUUAAUAUGAGGCAGGAAAAGGGCACAAUGUGCUGAUUUUACAUCGGUGUGUGUGUGUGUAUGAUAGAGAUAGAUAGAGAGAUAGAGAGAGAGAGAGAGAGAGAGAGAGAGAGAGAGAGAGAGACUAGACCAGGGUUGCUCAACCUCGGCCCUCCUGCAGAUGUUUGUCUACAACUCCCAUAAUCCCUGGCUAUUGGCCAGUGCACUACAGUGCACUAUUGGCCACUGUGGUUGAGGAGUAAGGGAGUUGUAGCCACCUAAUGGUGCAGCGGGGAAAUGACUUGAUUAGCAAGCCAGAGGUUUCCAGUUCAAAUCCCCGCUGGUAUGUUGGGAAACACCUAUAUUGGGUAGCAGCGAUAUAGGAAGGUGCUGAAAGGCAUCAUCUCAUACUGCGUGGGAGAAGGCAAAGCUAAACCCCUCCUGUAUUCUACCAAAGACAACCAUAGGGCUCUGUGGUCGCCAGGAGUCGACACCAACUCAAUGGCACACUUUACCUUUAGUCCAAAAACAGCUGGGGGGCCAAAGUUGAGCAGACCAGCACUCGACAUUAGCAGGAGGAGGAGAAAAAGAGCCCUGAGCAACAGCAGCUCUGUGUCUUUUGUAACAUCUAUUUCAGCCCUAAAUUUUCCCCCAAGAACCCAAAAUGAUAUCGCAGGUGAUUCUAGGUACACUCUCAGCUCACAUAGAAAGCCAGAUAUGUCUGAAGCAGCACCAGAACCCAGACUCAGUACUUUGCCUCUGGCAUGGAGGCUGUCUCUUGAACAGCGCCAUCAUCAAUGGCUGCCCAGUCUGUCCGUAUGAUUGAGCUGGCCUGUAAAAAGACAAACAAGCAAAAACACACUGAUAGAUUUUUGUUAGGGGGAAAAAGUUGGAUGUGGUACCCAAAAGUUUGACAAUGUUUGGAUUAUCAAAUUCGGCCAUGAGGGCUGCCUCCCUCUGAAAAUCAGCCUGCAUAUCCGCGGAAGCUUCUUCUUUCAGCAUCUUCACUGCCACCAUUGUGAAUGGCUCGUAUGGAAGCAGUCCAGGUGCCCUGAAGAGAAGGAAGGGGGAACAGGCAGAGGGGGAAACAUUAUGCAUGAAAAGGUCUAGGAGAACAUGAGCAGCACUAAACAGGAGUCUUACUUUUAUAAGCAUAAGCAGCCUGCAUUAUAUAAAGCCUGCAUCAUUUUCAGUCAUGUUGCAGGUUUCAGGAAGACUGUGAGGGUUCAUGUUUUAGAAAGCUUUUCUGUCAGCGGACUGAGCUUUUAUUCGGUUGACAACAACUUCUUAUAUGAUGCUGUUGCUACUGAUUGUUAUUUGGUUUGUGUUUAAUAUUGCUUUAAAUUGGUGUAAUUGUUUUUGAAGUUUAAAUUGAAUGUUAAAUUGUUGUCAGCCACCUUAGGGACUGUUUUGUGGCCAAAGGUUAGGUUAAAAAAUAGAACGAAUAAAGGAGCAUGGUUACAAUGAGCAUGCAAUUAAUGCUGUGCUCAAAUUAUGGGGAAACGGGUAGCAGGGCUCUGAAUGAAAUCCAAAAGCUCCACCAUCUGGUUCCUACCAAUUUGAC